CGAAGUAGUAAUACUUAGUGGCAAACGGGUGAGUAACAUGUGGGUAUCUGCCCUUCGGCCUGGAAUAACACGGGGAAACUUGUGCUAAUACCGGAUAAGUCUUUUAAGAGAAAGCUUUAUGCUCCGAUGGAUGAGCCCGCACCUGAUUAGUUAGUUGGUGAGGUAAUAGCUCACCAAGACAAUGAUCAGUAGCUGAUUUGAGAGGAUGAUCAGCCACAUUGGGACUGAGACACGGCCCAAACUCCUACGGGAGGCAGCAGUGGGGAAUCUUGCACAAUGGGGGAAACCCUGAUGCAGCGAUGCCGCGUGAGUGAAGAAGGCCUUUGGGUUGUAAAGCUCUUUCGUCGGGGAAGAAAAUGACUGUACCCGAAUAAGAAGGUCCGGCUAACUUCGUGCCAGCAGCCGCGGUAAUACGAAGGGACCUAGCGUAGUUCGGAAUUACUGGGCUUAAAGAGCUCGUAGGUGGUUAAGAAAGUUGGUGGUGAAAUCCCAAGGCUUAACCUUGGAACUGCCACCAAAACUUUUUGACUGGAGUAUGAUAGAGGUAAGUGGAAUUUCUAGUGUAGAGGUGAAAUUCGUAGAUAUUAGAAAGAACACCAAUUGCGAAGGCAGCUUUCUGGAUCAUUACUGACACUGAGGAGCGAAAGCAUGGGUAGCGAAGAGGAUUAGAUACCCUCGUAGUCCAUGCCGUAAACGAUGUGUGCUAGACGUUGGAAACUUAGUUUUCAGUGUCGCAGCGAAAGCGUU
This 747-nucleotide ribosomal RNA is filed under the name uncultured marine bacterium. RNAcentral's name for it is "bacterial SSU rRNA". It matches the Rfam family "Bacterial small subunit ribosomal RNA", at positions 67 to 861 of the family's 1533-position model. The record is from RNAcentral.